RNAcentral lists this unclassified non-coding RNA (179 nucleotides) under air metagenome. RNAcentral's name for it is "partial contains small subunit ribosomal RNA, internal transcribed spacer 1, and 5.8S ribosomal RNA". The stretch from base 1 to 46 matches the Rfam family "Eukaryotic small subunit ribosomal RNA", at positions 1786 to 1831 of the family's 1831-position model. The record is from RNAcentral.
AAGUCGUAACAAGGUUUCCGUAGGUGAACCUGCGGAAGGAUCAUUAGUGAUUUGGCUCCGGCCUUAUUCUUGUCCAACCUCUGUGAACCGUGGCCUCCGGGCCGUAUUUUAAUCAUCAGUGUAAAGAAUGUAAACAUAUUAAACAAACAAAACUUUUAACAACGGAUCUCUUGGCUCUC